RNAcentral lists this microRNA precursor (136 nucleotides) under Hordeum vulgare. RNAcentral describes it as "microRNA MIR1122". It matches the Rfam family "MIR1120/MIR1122 microRNA precursor family". Lineage: Eukaryota; Viridiplantae; Streptophyta; Magnoliopsida; Poales; Poaceae. The record is from RNAcentral.
CAUGUACGCCCUCCGCCCCAAAAUUCUUGUCUUAUAAUUAUCUAUAUAUGAAUGUAUCUAGUCACAUCUUACUAUUUAGAUACAUCCAUUUCUAGACAAACCUAAGACAAAAAUUUUGGGACGGAGGGGGUACAAA